UGUUAUACCAUAUAUACUAUUUUUAUGUACAAGUAACAUAAUCCAAUUAGAUGCCACUGGAUCCGAAUCAUGAUUUCAUCAACGACCAUAGGAAUGGAAACCAAUUGAGAUUUGUUAGUAGCGAUGAUGAGCAAGAGUAGAUUGGGGGAAACCGAUAUCCAAGAUGAUCUUGAAAGCUUGGGAUGAAUGGCCAUAAAUCCAGCCUUUCUUUACUUUGCCCGUGGCAUGGACUCGAGGUGAAUUCCUGAGUUGAAAGUUUGCCGAUCUCACUUGAGUCUGGUGGGAGUUUGACUUGUUAUAAAAUUUAUGCCCGCAACCUUCGGCCCUCUAUAUCGGAGUAAUUUCGUCCAAGAAACGUUAUCAUCAAGUAAAUCAGCAUUGCAUGUCUCAUUCCCCCGCCGAAUGCAUGCACCAAGUGAUCGUUCAUUUAUUGCCGGCGCGCUAUCUUGCUUAAGUCCUUGUCGAAUGCACACAUCUCUUGGCCGAUGUUGGAAUCAAAAAGUAUUUUUACGAGUUUCAUAUUCAUAUAUUUGGUAAAAACAUGUAUUGAUGGUUCAGUCGAACAUUAGUGUUGUCGAAUUCUUGUGGAGUAUUAAAAAUCCUAGUAAUAAUCGAUA
Molecule: long non-coding RNA, 617 nt
Organism: Olea europaea var. sylvestris
Lineage: Eukaryota; Viridiplantae; Streptophyta; Magnoliopsida; Lamiales; Oleaceae
Exons: 2
Source: RefSeq, a predicted model, not a curated record